GUCCCUGUAGCGCAAUGGAUAGCGCAUUGGACUUCUAAUCUAAAAGUCAUGGGUUCGAAUCCCACCUGGGAUG
This 73-nucleotide transfer RNA is filed under the name Trichonephila inaurata madagascariensis. It matches the Rfam family "tRNA". From Rfam's summary of the family: Transfer RNA (tRNA) molecules are approximately 80 nucleotides in length. Their secondary structure includes four short double-helical elements and three loops (D, anti-codon, and T loops). Further hydrogen bonds mediate the characteristic L-shaped molecular structure. tRNAs have two regions of fundamental functional importance: the anti-codon, which is responsible for specific mRNA codon recognition, and the 3' end, to which the tRNAs corresponding amino acid is attached (by aminoacyl-tRNA synthetases). tRNAs cope with the degeneracy of the genetic code in two manners: having more than one tRNA (with a specific anti-codon) for a particular amino acid; and 'wobble' base-pairing, i.e. permitting non-standard base-pairing at the 3rd anti-codon position. Lineage: Eukaryota; Metazoa; Arthropoda; Arachnida; Araneae; Nephilidae. The record is from Rfam by way of RNAcentral.